ACCCAUGAAUGAUAUCCAAGUCCAAAUUAAUGAGAACAUAAGAAUGCUAGCCAAACUCAAAGAUAGGUGGGCUAGAGAAAAGGAAGAGGAAGAGAGAAUUAAGAACCUUCCUACACACACUAUCAUUGCUACUAUACAAAUUGUUGAGGAUCAUUUGGCUCCUUUAUCCAGGAUUUUAUGUGGUGGAGGAAGAGGGAAAGUAACUUUUCCUGGCCCCACCUAACUCUAAUCCGAAUAAGCACCUCUUGGGUGGGUUAGUUCUUUUGGAUGGGUUAGAUGCAUCUAACCAACUCUAACCCUCCUGUUUUGAUGUUUUGAGGUUAGUUCAGUCCAAUCUAACCAACUCUAACUCUAACCCAUGAAUCCAAACAAAGCCAUAAAUUACGCCACGUCACCGCAUGCAUGCAUGUGGGAAUAUUUUUCGAUUUCCAAUAUUUAAAAUGUUUUAUCUCUUAAAUAAAAAAUCUGAGUGAAGAUUCGUUUUCACCAGUAAAUCCAUCGCGACGAGAUUCCAAACUAGAUCUCAUGUCACUAUGUUUCAAUGACUUUUUUUGGGUUCAAAGUUGCCACGUCUAUUGCACAUGAAUUGUCAUGAUGUUUACACAAAAAUUGCCAUGAUAUAUUCCAGCUAUUUUUUAUUCUACCUUUAAAAGGAAUUUUUGACAUAUUAUAAAAUGGAGAAUUAAGAAACUAGACUUGCAAUGAACCAUAAACUAAAAUUGCCAUGCUGAAUUACUUUUUUUAACAGUACACACAAACGCUCAUACAUACACGCAUACACUCACAUGAUGAAUUACUUAAAUUUUCCAUGAUACAUGCACUUAAAUUUGCCAUGGUUCAUAAAAAUAAUAAUUUCUAUGGUCAAAUUAGUGGAAUUGUCAUGGUCAAAAUAGUGCCAUGAUUUAUAAACUAAAUUUGACAUGAUGGAUUACUAAAAGUUGCCAUGAUCCAUGCAUUAAAUUUGUCGUUGUUAAUUAC
Molecule: long non-coding RNA, 978 nt
Filed under: Hordeum vulgare
Lineage: Eukaryota; Viridiplantae; Streptophyta; Magnoliopsida; Poales; Poaceae
Description: long non-coding RNA (HVUL_LNC018497)
Source: RNAcentral